AUUUCCUCAACGAUCAUCUGACAUGUGGGGAAAUACUGAUUGUUUUUCUCACUUGAUAAAUGCUGAGGAACUAUUACCCAAAAACUGAGUUUGUCUCUUGGUGGAUGUCGAGCCAAAAGAUACAACCAAGCCAAAGAGCAGGAGAAGGAAGGAUUUAUGAUUACUUGCAGCAGAAAGAUACGAAGCUCUAUGUCAUAUUCCUGUGUCUGAUGCCGCAGAUAUGCGAUAUGGAGUUGGGAAGUGAGGCAAGUGAAGGAGUUGUGGGAAGAAGGAUGGCAGGAAGAAAUGAUGUUCGAUUUACCCCUCAACCCCAGGACCACUGGAUACAACUUCUGAAGAUACACUUGGCACUUGGAUGCCCUUGAUGUCAUUCCUGCUGCCAUGAAUAAAGGUGUUGACGUCUUUGCAGGGAUUGAUCAGGUCUCGCCUCUUCAUUAUGCUUUCACAGUAUCUGUCAUCCCGGCCC
Delphinapterus leucas (beluga whale) is the source of this 466-nucleotide long non-coding RNA. RefSeq lists it as uncharacterized. Lineage: Eukaryota; Metazoa; Chordata; Mammalia; Artiodactyla; Monodontidae. The record is from RefSeq and is a predicted model, not a curated record.